This is a non-coding RNA of Mycena leptocephala, 94 nucleotides long. The record is from the annotation of a GenBank genome assembly. Lineage: Eukaryota; Fungi; Basidiomycota; Agaricomycetes; Agaricales; Mycenaceae.
GGCCCAAUAGCACAGUUGGUUAGUGCGCCUGCUGUAAAUAGGACUGCUUGGUGUUAUAAGCAGGAGAACCCUCGUUCGAAUCGGGGUUGAGCCA